AGCCGAAACACCCCCUAGUAAUAGGGUGGUGUCAUCCUACCGUGGUGGAUAGGGUCUGACGAAGGCAGCCAAAC
Molecule: non-coding RNA, 74 nt
Filed under: Candidatus Kaiserbacteria bacterium
Lineage: Bacteria; Candidatus Kaiseribacteriota
Source: RNAcentral